GGUUAAGCGACUAAGCGUACACGGUGGNNNNNNNNNNNNNNNNNGGCGAUGAAGGACGUGCUAAUCUGCGAUAAGCGUCGGUAAGGUGAUAUGAACCGUUAUAACCGGCGAUUUCCGAAUGGGGAAACCCAGUGUGUUUCGACACACUAUCAUUAACUGAAUCCAUAGGUUAAUGAGGCGAACCGGGGGAACUGAAACAUCUAAGUACCCCGAGGAAAAGAAAUCAACCGAGAUUCCCCCAGUAGCGGCGAGCGAACGGGGAGCAGCCCAGAGCCUGAAUCAGUGUGUGUGUUAGUGGAAGCGUCUGGAAAGGCGCGCGAUACAGGGUGACAGCCCCGUACACAAAAAUGCACAUGCUGUGAGCUCGAUGAGUAGGGCGGGACACGUGGUAUCCUGUCUGAAUAUGGGGGGACCAUCCUCCAAGGCUAAAUACUCCUGACUGACCGAUAGUGAACCAGUACCGUGAGGGAAAGGCGAAAAGAACCCCGGCGAGGGGAGUGAAAAAGAACCUGAAACCGUGUACGUACAAGCAGUGGGAGCACGCUUAGGCGUGUGACUGCGUACCUUUUGUAUAAUGGGUCAGCGACUUAUAUUCUGUAGCAAGGUUAACCGAAUAGGGGAGCCGAAGGGAAACCGAGUCUUAACUGGGCGUUAAGUUGCAGGGUAUAGACCCGAAACCCGGUGAUCUAGCCAUGGGCAGGUUGAAGGUUGGGUAACACUAACUGGAGGACCGAACCGACUAAUGUUGAAAAAUUAGCGGAUGACUUGUGGCUGGGGGUGAAAGGCCAAUCAAACCGGGAGAUAGCUGGUUCUCCCCGAAAGCUAUUUAGGUAGCGCCUCGUGAAUUCAUCUCCGGGGGUAGAGCACUGUUUCGGCAAGGGGGUCAUCCCGACUUACCAACCCGAUGCAAACUGCGAAUACCGGAGAAUGUUAUCACGGGAGACACACGGCGGGUGCUAACGUCCGUCGUGAAGAGGGAAACAACCCAGACCGCCAGCUAAGGUCCCAAAGUCAUGGUUAAGUGGGAAACGAUGUGGGAAGGCCCAGACAGCCAGGAUGUUGGCUUAGAAGCAGCCAUCAUUUAAAGAAAGCGUAAUAGCUCACUGGUCGAGUCGGCCUGCGCGGAAGAUGUAACGGGGCUAAACCAUGCACCGAAGCUGCGGCAGCGACGCUUAUGCGUUGUUGGGUAGGGGAGCGUUCUGUAAGCCUGUGAAGGUGUGCUGUGAGGCAUGCUGGAGGUAUCAGAAGUGCGAAUGCUGACAUAAGUAACGAUAAAGCGGGUGAAAAGCCCGCUCGCCGGAAGACCAAGGGUUCCUGUCCAACGUUAAUCGGGGCAGGGUGAGUCGACCCCUAAGGCGAGGCCGAAAGGCGUAGUCGAUGGGAAACAGGUUAAUAUUCCUGUACUUGGUGUUACUGCGAAGGGGGGACGGAGAAGGCUAUGUUGGCCGGGCGACGGUUGUCCCGGUUUAAGCGUGUAGGCUGGUUUUCCAGGCAAAUCCGGAAAAUCAAGGCUGAGGCGUGAUGACGAGGCACUACGGUGCUGAAGCAACAAAUGCCCUGCUUCCAGGAAAAGCCUCUAAGCAUCAGGUAACAUCAAAUCGUACCCCAAACCGACACAGGUGGUCAGGUAGAGAAUACCAAGGCGCUUGAGAGAACUCGGGUGAAGGAACUAGGCAAAAUGGUGCCGUAACUUCGGGAGAAGGCACGCUGAUAUGUAGGUGAAGUCCCUCGCGGAUGGAGCUGAAAUCAGUCGAAGAUACCAGCUGGCUGCAACUGUUUAUUAAAAACACAGCACUGUGCAAACACGAAAGUGGACGUAUACGGUGUGACGCCUGCCCGGUGCCGGAAGGUUAAUUGAUGGGGUUAGCGGUAACGCGAAGCUCUUGAUCGAAGCCCCGGUAAACGGCGGCCGUAACUAUAACGGUCCUAAGGUAGCGAAAUUCCUUGUCGGGUAAGUUCCGACCUGCACGAAUGGCGUAAUGAUGGCCAGGCUGUCUCCACCCGAGACUCAGUGAAAUUGAACUCGCUGUGAAGAUGCAGUGUACCCGCGGCAAGACGGAAAGACCCCGUGAACCUUUACUAUAGCUUGACACUGAACAUUGAGCCUUGAUGUGUAGGAUAGGUGGGNNNNNNNNNNNNNNNNNNNNNNNNNNNNNNNNNNNNNNNNNNNNAAUACCACCCUUUAAUGUUUGAUGUUCUAACGUUGACCCGUAAUCCGGGUUGCGGACAGUGUCUGGUGGGUAGUUUGACUGGGGCGGUCUCCUCCUAAAGAGUAACGGAGGAGCACGAAGGUUGGCUAAUCCUGGUCGGACAUCAGGAGGUUAGUGCAAUGGCAUAAGCCAGCUUGACUGCGAGCGUGACGGCGCGAGCAGGUGCGAAAGCAGGUCAUAGUGAUCCGGUGGUUCUGAAUGGAAGGGCCAUCGCUCAACGGAUAAAAGGUACUCCGGGGAUAACAGGCUGAUACCGCCCAAGAGUUCAUAUCGACGGCGGUGUUUGGCACCUCGAUGUCGGCUCAUCACAUCCUGGGGCUGAAGUAGGUCCCAAGGGUAUGGCUGUUCGCCAUUUAAAGUGGUACGCGAGCUGGGUUUAGAACGUCGUGAGACAGUUCGGUCCCUAUCUGCCGUGGGCGCUGGAGAACUGAGGGGGGCUGCUCCUAGUACGAGAGGACCGGAGUGGACGCAUCACUGGUGUUCGGGUUGUCAUGCCAAUGGCACUGCCCGGUAGCUAAAUGCGGAAGAGAUAAGUGCUGAAAGCAUCUAAGCACGAAACUUGCCCCGAGAUGAGUUCUCCCUGACUCCUUGAGAGUCCUGAAGGAACGUUGAAGACGACGACGUUGAUAGGCCGGGUGUGUAAGCGCAGCGAUGCGUUGAGCUAACCGGUACUAAUGAACCGUGAGGCUUAACCUU
This 2906-nucleotide ribosomal RNA is filed under the name Escherichia coli. RNAcentral's name for it is "23S ribosomal RNA". It matches the Rfam family "Bacterial large subunit ribosomal RNA". Lineage: Bacteria; Pseudomonadati; Pseudomonadota; Gammaproteobacteria; Enterobacterales; Enterobacteriaceae. The record is from RNAcentral.